AAGAUUUUAACAAAGUGUGACAUGUGUCUUCCCUCAACAUUCGUCGAUAGGAUAUUGACCAAUGGGAAGUGGAGGAAGAAAAUACUAGAAGUUAGAGUUGGAAUUCAUGGUACUUAAUUUUAUUUUAUUAUUGGAUUUGAUUUGUAUAGGUUGUAUUUAAGCUUGAGUUGGAGUUCAUUAUAUUAUUCACAACAGUUGGCUUGUAUUAAACAAUAUUUAUUUUAUGUUUGCAUUAUAUUUAAAUAUUAAAGACUUAUUUAUUUUAA
Camellia sinensis is the source of this 266-nucleotide non-coding RNA. Lineage: Eukaryota; Viridiplantae; Streptophyta; Magnoliopsida; Ericales; Theaceae. The record is from RefSeq and is a predicted model, not a curated record.